RNAcentral lists this unclassified non-coding RNA (309 nucleotides) under plant metagenome. RNAcentral's name for it is "partial contains 5.8S ribosomal RNA, internal transcribed spacer 2, and large subunit ribosomal RNA". The stretch from base 1 to 105 matches the Rfam family "5.8S ribosomal RNA", at positions 50 to 154 of the family's 154-position model. The record is from RNAcentral.
GAAAUGCGAUAAGUAAUGUGAAUUGCAGAAUUCAGUGAAUCAUCGAAUCUUUGAACGCUCAUUGCGCCCGCCAGUAUUCUGGCGGGCAUGCCUGUUCGAGCGUCAUUUCAACCAUCAAGCCCCCGGGCUUGUGUUGGGGACCUGCGGCUGCCGCAGGCCCCGAAAACCAGUGGCGGGCUCGCUGUCACACCGGGCGUAGUAGAUUUUUCGUCUCGCCCAGGGCGUGCUGCGGGUUCCGGCCGUUAAAAAGCCUCUCUUUUAACCCAAGGUUGACCUCGGAUCAGGUAGGAAGACCCGCUGAACUUAAGC